This 75-nucleotide transfer RNA is filed under the name Candidatus Liptonbacteria bacterium RIFCSPLOWO2_01_FULL_53_13. RNAcentral's name for it is "tRNA-Arg". It matches the Rfam family "tRNA". From Rfam's summary of the family: Transfer RNA (tRNA) molecules are approximately 80 nucleotides in length. Their secondary structure includes four short double-helical elements and three loops (D, anti-codon, and T loops). Lineage: Bacteria; Candidatus Liptoniibacteriota. The record is from RNAcentral.
GCUCCUGUCGUUCAAUGGAUAGGACGCUCCCCUCCGAAGGGAGCGAUGCAGGUUCGAUUCCUGCCAGGAGCACAA